AGCCUUGUCAUCUCGGUCGAUCU
This 23-nucleotide non-coding RNA is filed under the name Arabidopsis thaliana (thale cress). The record is from RNAcentral. Lineage: Eukaryota; Viridiplantae; Streptophyta; Magnoliopsida; Brassicales; Brassicaceae.